RNAcentral lists this ribosomal RNA (434 nucleotides) under uncultured bacterium. RNAcentral's name for it is "bacterial SSU rRNA". It matches the Rfam family "Bacterial small subunit ribosomal RNA", at positions 97 to 509 of the family's 1533-position model. The record is from RNAcentral.
GGCGCACGGGUGAGUAACGCGUGGAUAAUCUACCCGAUGGACCGGGAUAACAUUUCGAAAGGGGUGCUAAUACCGGAUAAGACCACGGGCUCUUCGGGGUCUGGGGAAAAGGGUGGGGACCUUCGGGCCUACCGUCAUCGGAUGACUCCGCGUACCUUUAGCUAGUUGGGGGGGUAAGAGCCUACCAGGGCGACGAUGGUUAGCUGGUCUGAGAGGAUGAUCAGCCACACUGGAACUGAGACACGGUCCAGACUCCUACGGGAGGCAGCAGUGGGGAAUUUUGCGCAAUGGGGGAAACCCUGACGCAGCAACGCCGCGUGAGUGAUGAAGGCCUUCGGGUCGUAAAGCUCUGUCAGAGGGGAAAAAAUGCGGGGGCGCUAAUAUCGCUUAUGCUUGACGGUACCCUCAAAGGAAGCACCGGCUAACUCCGUGCC